AUUCCGUGAUGAGGGCACUUCUGUAAUAAUCCUUUGUACCUUUCCCAUGCCUCAUAUAAGGACUCAUCAACCAUUUCCUGGAAAGCAGUGAUCUCAUUCCUUAACUU
Non-coding RNA from Gossypium hirsutum (cotton), 107 nucleotides. The record is from Rfam. NCBI's taxonomy places the organism in Eukaryota, Viridiplantae, Streptophyta, Magnoliopsida, Malvales, Malvaceae.